Molecule: ribosomal RNA, 253 nt
Filed under: uncultured bacterium
Lineage: Bacteria
Description: partial 16S ribosomal RNA
Rfam family: Bacterial small subunit ribosomal RNA
Source: RNAcentral
UACAGAGGGGGCAAGCGUUGUUCGGAAUUACUGGGCGUAAAGGGCGCGUAGGCGGCCUUCUAAGUCGAACGUGAAAUCCCCGGGCUCAACCCGGGAACUGCGUCCGAUUCUGGAAGGCUUGAAUCCGGGAGAGGGAUGCGGAAUUCCAGGUGUAGCGGUGAAAUGCGUAGAUAUCUGGAGGAACACCGGUGGCGAAGGCGGCAUCCUGGACCGGCAUUGACGCUGAGGCGCGAAAGCCAGGGGAGCAAACGGG